This is a long non-coding RNA of Myotis myotis, 2562 nucleotides long. RefSeq lists it as uncharacterized. The record is from RefSeq and is a predicted model, not a curated record. The transcript has 3 exons. NCBI's taxonomy places the organism in Eukaryota, Metazoa, Chordata, Mammalia, Chiroptera, Vespertilionidae.
UGUUUACAUUAAAUUAUAAAAAUAGUAUCUUUUAUUCUUUUGUCUGCUUGUACAUUUCAGAAUGAAUGCACCAAACUGAUUUCAGCAUCUGCUCCGAUUGAGAUGAUGGUAGAGAAGAGACCAAGGUGAAAAGUAGGUGAAGAUUUUACCUUGCUUGGAUGAUUUAUUAAAAAAGUAUUCAUAGUAUUAUUAUAAAGUAAUAAAUAUAAUAAAAAACGUAAGUGUGAAUCAAGUACAAAUAUGAUAUAAAAUAUGUUGAUUCAUUGAUAAUGUGCAACAUUGAAGUCAAUUAAUGUAAAAGAUAUAACCUAUGUAUGUAGUACAGAGCUAGGUUUAAUCAAGGAUCUUUUUCUUGUGAUUUUAUGAAUCAUGUAUUUAUUUUAUUAACAAUGAAUUAGUGCUUUAAUAAUCACAUAUAGAGAAACCAAUGAAGGAAAAGAGACCCAGAAAUGGAUCAAUUAUGAUGACUGGUCACGUAGAGUCAUAUAUGGUGAGUGUGAGGUGUCUGUAACUCUUGUGUUCACAAGAAACAGAAUUUGGUUUAUCUUCUCUUGUAAAUGACCCCAUAGGUUGAUGUUAGGAAUAUACAAAAAUUAUAUUCUCAUUUUGAGUUCAUAGAUUUAGAUUUAUUAUUAUUAAUGAAUCAAUAGUCAAACCAUUAAGAAUGUAAUAAACAACUAAAGAGAAAAGAGUGAGAGACAUUGUCCAGCUCGGAAUAUAUGUCAUGAGGCAAUAAAAUGACAAUCAUACUUGUGAAGCCAUAAGUGGAAGUAGCAUAUGCCUUUUGCCUAAGAACCAUAUAGACAGUGAUGAGUAAGAGUCAAUAUUAUUUUGCUCUUGAUCAGUCUCAAUUUUAAAAUUAUCUGUUCUUCAGAGAAAAUAUGUUACAAUAUGAAAAAUUAAUCAAUGUCUAAGUGAAUAAAUAGAAUGUAGAACACAAGGAUCAGUGGAGGUAAAUUUGAAAACUUUUUAUCUUCUGCUCUGCUCUGUACUGCAUAGAGUGGACACACUCGAGCUGAUUUCAGGGUUCUUCCAUGAUCACACCAGGUGGCAAGGGUCAGUAUAUUUAUAUAUUGCCUAAUGAUGAUCACAAUGAAGUUUACUUUAGCCUUGGUUACCAUAUAUAGUUAUAAAAUCUGUUUUUUGGGGAAGAAAACUUUUACGAUUUAUUAUCUUACCCACUUUCCUUUGUUAAGAUAAAAAUUAUACAUUAAAAUAUAAGUACCUUAAUACUGAGUCAAUGAAACUCAGAAAGCAAGGCUUGGCCUCGGUUUUCCGUUACCAUCUUCCCUUCUCUGUCCUCUUCAGAACGCAGACACGCUAGAUGAUGUAUGCACCUUUCUCAGUCACAGACCCGUUGGUUCCCACUUUAGCGUAGGAGCUUGAGGAUUAAUGUGAGUUAGGGAUGAAAUUAUUUUCUCGGUUUCAGUGUGGUUGUUGUUGCUUUAAGUUUAUUCCCUGUAUUAUUAAGUGUGAAGUAUCAGUAAAGAAGGCAACUGUAUCUGUUAAAUAUGGACUAUAAGAACAAUUAUAUCCAGUAAUGCAUCAUGGGAACAGGUGAUAAUAAAGAGAUAUAUUGCUGUGAGAGUAAAUGUAUAUUAAGUUGAAAGAUACGAGGGCUCAUCUUGUUUUUAGUGAAUAAUAGGCUUUCAGAAUUAUUAUUAUUGGACUAACAUUUCAUCAAUAUACAAAUAUAAUGAGGAAAUGAGAGAGAAUAGUGAAUUGAUGAUGGCUACUGUUGGCCUAGGAGUUACAUGGGGCAAAUACAUGUCUGGAACUCUGAGUUCCAAUUGAAACUUACUAUAGUCCAUUCCCAUCUCCCAGGAAUCUUCUAGACAGUUGACAGGAAGAUCCUAAGAUCUUGUUUCCGGUCUUAUUGUUCAUGUAUUCUCAUCUAUUAUUAUAAUUGGAUAAAUUAUAGAAUCUAUAAAUAAACAUUAAAAACAGAUCAAUGAAGUAGUGUCCAAUUAUAAAAAUAUGUAAGGAGGCAGGAAAUUGUAUUCAUAUAUUAUGCAAAUCAUGAAGUUCAGUUAGAAACAAAUGACACAUUACUGUUACCUGUAUAGUUAAAGGAUAAAUCAUAGAAAAUGCUCAUAGUCUGGGUUAGUGGUCCAAUUAAAAUUUGUUUUCUUAGGAGAAAAAGUAUAUACCAAAUCAAUGAUUGCUCAAAUGACUGACCAUGUGAGAGGUGAAAAGCAAAUUUCAAUGAACAGAAGGUCUCAACCAUUUAUAUCAUCUGCUCUGCUUCAUACUCCUCAGGACAAGUGCACUGGGUCUGCUGUAAGGUUAUUCCUUGACCAUGAGCCAUAGAAUUGCACCUCUGCUUUAGGAGCCUGGAGACCAAUAACAGAUGCUCCAGCUGAUUUCAGCUCCGCCCUGGUGAUGUUUGCCUUGUUGCCGCCACCUUAGGCGAGAGAUCAAGAUCUGGAGGCAGCUGAAGUGCCCCUCAGUAGAGGGGUAGAUAAAAGAGUUGUGGGACAUUUACACCAUGGAAUACUAUACAGCUGUGAAAAAGAAGGAUCCCUCACCCUUUGAGACAGCAUGGAGGGACCUGGAGAUUAU